UGCGUAGGCGGCGCAGUAAGUUGGGUGUGAAAUCCCUCGGCUUAACCGAGGAAUUGCGCCCAAAACUACUGUGCUCGAGGGAGAUAGAGGUGAGCGGAACUUAGGGUGGAGCGGUGAAAUGCGUUGAUAUCCUAAGGAACACCGGUGGCGAAAGCGGCUCACUGGAUCUCUUCUGACGCUGAGGCACGAAAGCUAGGGUAGCAAACGGGAUUAGAUACCCCGGUAGUCCUAGCCGUAAACGAUGAGCACUGGAUCGAAGGGUCCUCCAUAGCCUUUCGGUCGCAGCGAAAGUGUUAAGUGCUCCGCCUGGGGAGUAUGGUCGCAAGGCUGAA
RNAcentral lists this ribosomal RNA (332 nucleotides) under uncultured Pirellula sp. RNAcentral describes it as "bacterial SSU rRNA". It matches the Rfam family "Bacterial small subunit ribosomal RNA", at positions 568 to 898 of the family's 1533-position model. The record is from RNAcentral. Lineage: Bacteria; Pseudomonadati; Planctomycetota; Planctomycetia; Pirellulales; Pirellulaceae.